This 331-nucleotide ribosomal RNA is filed under the name uncultured eukaryote. Its description in RNAcentral is "partial 18S ribosomal RNA". It matches the Rfam family "Eukaryotic small subunit ribosomal RNA", at positions 1470 to 1796 of the family's 1831-position model. The record is from RNAcentral.
CCCUUAGAUGUUCUGGGCCGCACGCGCGCUACACUGAUACGAGCAACGAGUUUAUCACCUUGACCGGAAGGUCUGGGUAAUCUUUUGAAAUCGUAUCGUGCUGGGGAUAGAUGCUUGCAAUUAUUCAUCUUCAACGAGGAAUUCCUAGUAAGCGUGAGUCAUCAGCUCGCGUUGAUUACGUCCCUGCCCUUUGUACACACCGCCCGUCGCUCCUACCGAUUGGAUGGUCCGGUGAAAUCUUCGGACUGCAGCAACGCAGCUGGUUUUCCGGCAGUGUCGCAGCGGGAAGUUGCUUAAACCUUAUCAUCUAGAGGAAGGAGAAGUCGUAACA